RNAcentral lists this ribosomal RNA (497 nucleotides) under uncultured bacterium. RNAcentral's name for it is "partial 16S ribosomal RNA". It matches the Rfam family "Bacterial small subunit ribosomal RNA", at positions 28 to 507 of the family's 1533-position model. The record is from RNAcentral.
GAUGAACGCUGGCGGCGUGCCUAAUACAUGCAAGUCGAGCGAACGGACGAGAAGCUUGCUUCUCUGACGUUAGCGGCGGACGGGUGAGUAACACGUGGAUAACCUACCUAUAAGACUGGGAUAACUUCGGGAAACCGUAGCUAAUACCGGAUAAUAUUUUGAACCGCAUGGUUCAAAAGUGAAAGACGGUCUUGCUGUCACUUAUAGAUGGAUCCGCGCUGCAUUAGCUAGUUGGUAAGGUAACGGCUUACCAAGGCAACGAUGCGUAGCCGACCUGAGAGGGUGAUCGGCCACACUGGAACUGAGACACGGUCCAGACUCCUACGGGAGGCAGCAGUAGGGAAUCUUCCGCAAUGGGCGAAAGCCUGACGGAGCAACGCCGCGUGAGUGAUGAAGGUCUUCGGAUCGUAAAACUCUGUUAUUAGGGAGGAACAUAUGUGUAAGUAACUGUGCACAUCUUGACGGUACCUAAUCAGAAAGCCACGGCUAACUACGUG